GAUGAAGAACGUAGCGAAAUGCGAUAAGUAGUGUGAAUUGCAGAAUUCAGUGAAUCAUCGAGUCUUUGAACGCACAUUGCGCCCCCUGGUAUUCCGGGGGGCAUGCCUGUCCGAGCGUCAUUGCUGCCCUCAAGCACGGCUUGUGUGUUGGGCCCCGUGCUCCGAUCCCGGGGGACGGGCCCGAAAGGCAGCGGCGGCACCGCGUCCGGUCCUCGAGCGUAUGGGGCUUUGUCACCCGCUCUGUAGGCCCGGCCGGCGCUUGCCGAUCAACCCAAAUUUUUUAUCCAGGUUGACCUCGGAUCAGGUAGGGAUACCCGCUGAACUUAAGCAUAUCAAUAAGCGGAGGA
RNAcentral lists this unclassified non-coding RNA (347 nucleotides) under soil metagenome. RNAcentral's name for it is "partial contains 5.8S ribosomal RNA, internal transcribed spacer 2, and large subunit ribosomal RNA". The stretch from base 1 to 120 matches the Rfam family "5.8S ribosomal RNA", at positions 35 to 154 of the family's 154-position model. The record is from RNAcentral.